AUGACUCUGAUGAAGAUGAGCCGUACGAGUAUGAAUCUAGAGAUGAUGUGGACGAGGGGAACGUCGAGUCCUUUAAAGAGAAGGAGGUGCAGAAGAUCAGGGCCCAAGGACCUGCCAUGUACUACAACUGGAGGAAGGACAAGUACAGGUGCCCCUACUGCAGCAAGCCCAAGCCCAGCUCUGGGUUGCAGGAGCAUCUGA
Molecule: ribosomal RNA, 201 nt
Filed under: Triticum aestivum (bread wheat)
Lineage: Eukaryota; Viridiplantae; Streptophyta; Magnoliopsida; Poales; Poaceae
Description: partial small subunit ribosomal RNA
Source: RNAcentral